RNAcentral lists this ribosomal RNA (495 nucleotides) under uncultured bacterium. RNAcentral describes it as "bacterial SSU rRNA". It matches the Rfam family "Bacterial small subunit ribosomal RNA", at positions 903 to 1397 of the family's 1533-position model. The record is from RNAcentral.
AAAUGAAUAGACGGGGGCCCGCACAAGCGGAGGAACAUGUGGUUUAAUUCGAUGAUACGCGAGGAACCUUACCCGGGCUUGAAAUGCAGGGGAAUAAUCAUGAAAGUGGUUAGUCAGCAAUGACCCCUGUGUAGGUGCUGCAUGGUUGUCGUCAGCUCGUGCCGUGAGGUGUCGGCUUAAGUGCCAUAACGAGCGCAACCCCUAUUGUUAGUUACUAACAGGUCAAGCUGAGGACUCUAACGAGACUGCCACCGUAAGGUGUGAGGAAGGUGGGGAUGACGUCAAAUCAGCACGGCCCUUACGUCCGGGGCGACACACGUGUUACAAUGGGAGGUACAGAGGGUAGCUACUGGGCGACCAGAUGCCAAUCUUAAAAAACCUCUCCCAGUUCGGAUCGAAGUCUGCAACCCGACUUCGUGAAGCUGGAUUCGCUAGUAAUCGCGCAUCAGCCAUGGCGCGGUGAAUACGUUCCCGGGCCUUGUACACACCGCCCGU